This 490-nucleotide ribosomal RNA is filed under the name Bacillus safensis. Its description in RNAcentral is "bacterial SSU rRNA". It matches the Rfam family "Bacterial small subunit ribosomal RNA", at positions 915 to 1387 of the family's 1533-position model. Lineage: Bacteria; Bacillati; Bacillota; Bacilli; Caryophanales; Bacillaceae. The record is from RNAcentral.
AGAGGCCGACACAAAGUGUGGCGCAUGUGGUUAUAUUCGAACAAACGAGAAGAACCUUUCCAGGUCUUGACAUCCUCUGACAACCCUAGAGAUAGGGCUUUCCCUUCGGGGACAGAGUGACAGGUGGUGCAUGGUUGUCCUCAGCUCGUGGCGUGAGAUGUUGGGUUAAGUCCCGCAACGAGCGCAACCCUUGAUCUUAGUUGCCAGCUUUCAGUGAGACCCUUUAAGGUGACUGCCGGUGACAAACUCUCGGAGGAGAGUGGGGAUGACGUCAAAUCAUCAUGCCCCUUAUGACCUGGGCUACCCACGUGCUCCAAUGGCCAGAACAAAGGGCUGCAAGACCCCAAGGUUUAACCAAUCCCAUAAAUCUGUUCUCAGUUCGGAUCGCAUGUCGGCAACUCGACUGCGUGAAGCUGGAAUCUCUAGUAAUCGCCACAGACAUGCCGCGGUGAUUUCUUUCCCGGCUCUUGCAAAAAAAAACAGAGAAAUG